This is a long non-coding RNA of Cucurbita maxima (winter squash), 767 nucleotides long. RefSeq lists it as uncharacterized. The record is from RefSeq and is a predicted model, not a curated record. Lineage: Eukaryota; Viridiplantae; Streptophyta; Magnoliopsida; Cucurbitales; Cucurbitaceae. The transcript is spliced from 2 exons.
UCUUCAAUCACUUAUGUAAUCAUUCUUCCAGUAGGAUGUAAUCUGUAAUCACUUCUAUGCUUGUUUGUGUUGCUUAUUAUUUAUCUAUCUUAAACACGCAAUUUAAAUGUGUUGCUAGAAUAAAAAAUUCUCCAUACCAUUGUGUGUGCAUUGCGCUUUAUUUUCUAGAGAGAUUUUUUUUCAGCGGCCGUCUACUUUUGUUUAAUAUUAUAUUCUGGAGGGUUAUGGAGGCAGAGUUCUGAUAAAGUUUAGUCCUACACUAUGGGAGCAUAAAAUUUAUCCAUUUUACGAAUAGUAAACAUUGGCUAUUUAAUCUCUAAUGUAAAUACGAGGAAUGUUAAGAACAACCAAACUUUUUACAAAAUGAGACGCAUUCACAUUACAUGGUGAGUAGUUACAGAAGGUCUAGGAAGCAUCAAGGCAAGGGCACCCCAUAUCCCAAAGUGAAGGAUUAACAAGUUGGACUGCAUUCUGAGGCAUGUUUCCUUUAUGGUGGAGCUGUCGUGGUACAUUCAUUGCAAGGUUACGGUGGAGGGCCUUGACAAUGCUCGGUAAUGAAGUCUUAUGCUGGCACCAUAGAGUUGAAAUAAAAGCAAACUUGGAAAGAAUCACAAGAAGCUAUUGUGAUUUGGUCCAUUUAAAGCCUCAAGUUGGAGCCUUCCCUUGGACAUUCCUUACCCCCACCCCCUCCACUCUUUUUUUGAUUGAACGCAAGUUCUUUUUUUUUUUCAUUCAUUCUUCUUUUCUUUUUUUUUUCCUUUUUUUUU